CUAAGUCAGAAUCCGGGCUAGACCGACGCAUGCGCUCGUCGCCCGUUUGCCGACCCGCAGUAGGGGCCAUUUGGCCCCAAGGGCACGUGUCGUUGGCUAAGCCGUCGUGGCGGAAGGGUCACGGUGGCCGCCUUGAAUUACAAUUCCGAUCGAGCGGCGAGCUGAAUCCUUUGCAGACGACUUAAAUACGCGACGGGGUAUUGUAAGGGGUAGAGUGGGCCUUGCUGCCACGAUCCUCUGAGAUUCAGCCCUUUGUCGCUCCCGAUUCGU
This 270-nucleotide non-coding RNA is filed under the name Ipomoea nil (Japanese morning glory). RNAcentral describes it as "Eukaryotic large subunit ribosomal RNA". It matches the Rfam family "Eukaryotic large subunit ribosomal RNA", at positions 3130 to 3401 of the family's 3401-position model. Lineage: Eukaryota; Viridiplantae; Streptophyta; Magnoliopsida; Solanales; Convolvulaceae. The record is from Rfam by way of RNAcentral.